UACGUAGGGUGCAAGCGUUGUCCGGAAUUAUUGGGCGUAAAGAGCUCGUAGGCGGUUUGUCGCGUCUGCUGUGAAAACGCGAGGCUCAACCUCGCGCCUGCAGUGGGUACGGGGCAGACUAGAGUGCGGUAGGGGAGAUUGGAAUUCCUGGUGUAGCGGUGAAAUGCGCAGAUAUCAGGAGGAACACCGGUGGCGAAGGCGGGUCUCUGGGCAACAACUGACGCUGGAGGAGCGAAAGCGUGGGGAGCGAACAGG
RNAcentral lists this ribosomal RNA (255 nucleotides) under uncultured bacterium. RNAcentral describes it as "partial 16S ribosomal RNA". It matches the Rfam family "Bacterial small subunit ribosomal RNA", at positions 524 to 776 of the family's 1533-position model. The record is from RNAcentral.